GAUGAACGCUGGCGGCGUGCCUAAUACAUGCAAGUCGAGCGAACAGACGAGGAGCUUGCUCCUCUGACGUUAGCGGCGGACGGGUGAGUAACACGUGGAUAACCUACCUAUAAGACUGGGAUAACUUCGGGAAACCGGAGCUAAUACCGGAUAAUAUAUUGAACCGCAUGGUUCAAUAGUUAAAGACGGUUUUUCUUUCACUUAUAGAUUGAUCCGCGCCGCAUUAGCUAGUUGGUAAGGUAACGGCUUACCAAGGCAACGAUGCGUAGCCGACCUGAGAGCGUGAUCGGACACACUGGAACUGAGAAACGGUACAGACUCCUACGGGAGGCAGCAGUAGGGAAUCUUCCGCGAUGGGCGAAAGCUUGACGGAGCAACGCCGCGUGAGUGAUGAAGGUCUUCGGAUCGUAAAACUCUGUUAUUAGGGAAGAACAAAUGUGUAAGUAACUAUGCACGUCUUGACGGUACCUAAUCAGAAAGCCACGGCUAACUACGUG
RNAcentral lists this ribosomal RNA (497 nucleotides) under uncultured bacterium. RNAcentral describes it as "partial 16S ribosomal RNA". It matches the Rfam family "Bacterial small subunit ribosomal RNA", at positions 28 to 507 of the family's 1533-position model. The record is from RNAcentral.